This 517-nucleotide ribosomal RNA is filed under the name uncultured bacterium. Its description in RNAcentral is "bacterial SSU rRNA". It matches the Rfam family "Bacterial small subunit ribosomal RNA", at positions 66 to 552 of the family's 1533-position model. The record is from RNAcentral.
ACGAAGGAAAUCCUCCGAGCUUGCUCGAGAGAGUAAAGUGGCGCACGGGUGAGUAACGCGUGGGUAACCUGUCCUUAAAUUUGGGAUAAACCACCGAAAGGUGGCCUAAUACCGAAUACCGUUCUGAAAACAAAAGUUUUCUGGAUGAAAGCUGACCUCUUCGCGAAAGUUGGUGUUUAAGGAGGGGCUCGCGUACCAUUAGCUUGUUGGUAGGGUAAAGGCCUACCAAGGCAAAGAUGGUUAGCUGGUCUGAGAAGAUGAUCAGCCACACUGGAACUGAAACACGGUCCAGGCUCCUACGGGAGGCAGCAGUGAGGAAUCUUGCGCAAUGGGGGAAACCCUGACGCAGCGACGCCGUGUGAGUGAAGAAGGUCUUCGGAUCGUAAAGCUCUGUCAAGUGGGAAUAAUGUCCUAAGGAAAAUAUCCAAGGGAUUUGAAGGUACCACUAAAGGAAGCACCGGCUAACUCCGUGCCAGCAGCCGCGGUAAUACGGAGGGUGCAAGCGUUAUUCGGAUUU